UGGGGAAUUUUGGACAAUGGGGGAAACCCUGAUCCAGCCAUCCCGCGUGUGCGAUGAAGGCCUUCGGGUUGUAAAGCACUUUUGGCAGGAAAGAAACGUCAUGGGUUAAUACCCCGUGAAACUGACGGUACCUGCAGAAUAAGCACCGGCUAACUACGUGCCAGCAGCCGCGGUAAUACGUAGGGUGCAAGCGUUAAUCGGAAUUACUGGGCGUAAAGCGUGCGCAGGCGGUUCGGAAAGAAAGAUGUGAAAUCCCAGAGCUCAACUUUGGAACUUCAUUUUUAACUACCGAGCUAGAGGGUGUCAGAGGGAGGUGGAAUUCCGCGUGUAUCAGUGAAAUGCGUAGAUAUGCGGAGGAACACCGAUGGCGAAGGCAGCCUCCUGGGAUAACACUGACGCUCAUGCACGAAAGCGUAGGGAGCAAACAUG
This 429-nucleotide ribosomal RNA is filed under the name Acidobacteriota bacterium. RNAcentral's name for it is "Acidobacteria bacterium partial 16S ribosomal RNA". It matches the Rfam family "Bacterial small subunit ribosomal RNA", at positions 355 to 776 of the family's 1533-position model. Lineage: Bacteria; Pseudomonadati; Acidobacteriota. The record is from RNAcentral.